RNAcentral lists this long non-coding RNA (223 nucleotides) under Phascolarctos cinereus (koala). RNAcentral's name for it is "lncRNA (ENSPCIG00000035202.1)". Lineage: Eukaryota; Metazoa; Chordata; Mammalia; Diprotodontia; Phascolarctidae. The record is from RNAcentral.
UUCUUUGCAGUGGGCUUGUGGCAAAGCCUUCGGCCCUCCUCCAAUACAUCAGUUCUACCUGGUGAAAACUCCCUCUCUCCUGCCACAGCCGGCCAAUUGCAUCUCUCUCCAAGACAGGGGCAUAAGCGACCUUCUCCCCCAACAUGGUUCCUGUCUUCUAGUCCUGGCUGUCAUAUCUGCGGCUCCUCAGCAGCUGAGAGAAAACAGCUUUAAAGAACAGUAA